This 46-nucleotide non-coding RNA is filed under the name Echinostoma caproni. Lineage: Eukaryota; Metazoa; Platyhelminthes; Trematoda; Plagiorchiida; Echinostomatidae. The record is from RNAcentral.
GCACUGCUGACGAGUCCCAAAACAAGAUGAAAUAGCUGUCCAGUGC